Molecule: transfer RNA, 73 nt
Filed under: Candidatus Woesearchaeota archaeon
Lineage: Archaea; Nanobdellati; Candidatus Woesearchaeota
Description: tRNA-Cys
Rfam family: tRNA
About the family: Transfer RNA (tRNA) molecules are approximately 80 nucleotides in length. Their secondary structure includes four short double-helical elements and three loops (D, anti-codon, and T loops). Further hydrogen bonds mediate the characteristic L-shaped molecular structure. tRNAs have two regions of fundamental functional importance: the anti-codon, which is responsible for specific mRNA codon recognition, and the 3' end, to which the tRNAs corresponding amino acid is attached (by aminoacyl-tRNA synthetases). tRNAs cope with the degeneracy of the genetic code in two manners: having more than one tRNA (with a specific anti-codon) for a particular amino acid; and 'wobble' base-pairing, i.e. permitting non-standard base-pairing at the 3rd anti-codon position.
Source: RNAcentral
GCGGAGGUACCGAAGCGGCUAACGGGCUCGCCUGCAGAGCGAGUUUUCCUGGGUUCGAGUCCCAGCCUCCGCU